AGGAUGAACCGCCGAAAGACUCACCGAAAACUACCGUCGGAGUCUAUUCCGGUGAAGAUCAUGAUGCAAGGAGGUGAAGAUCAUGAUGCAGAGAAACUUUCUUGGAAGGGAAAAGAGAAUGUGGGUGGCCGGAGUCCCAUUUUUCAUCAAGAAGUCGGAAAACCCGCAAGGAACAACUCUACGCAUGAUCUGUGAAGAAGUUUGGCCGAGACCUCAACCCGAAGGCGGAGAUCCAAGAGUCGUCCGAGAACGGGACCUAAUUUAAAGAAAUCAGUAUUUUUGGACACCUCACGGGCAAAGAAAUGCUAGCAGAAAGAGCACGUGUCAACCAGGUAAGUCACCACCCGGUAUAUAGGAAGAAAUACUUGUAGGAUUCGCUUGGAUUACCUGCAUGUUAGUAGUUCUGCUUCAGAUUAGCUCUCCAUGUAAAGUAUUAAUCAGAUUAAUUGUUAUGUUUGUAUUGGAUGAAUUACAUGAGUGUUGCCUUUAA
This is a long non-coding RNA of Cucurbita moschata (crookneck pumpkin), 490 nucleotides long. RefSeq lists it as uncharacterized. Lineage: Eukaryota; Viridiplantae; Streptophyta; Magnoliopsida; Cucurbitales; Cucurbitaceae. The record is from RefSeq and is a predicted model, not a curated record. The transcript has 3 exons.